This 787-nucleotide ribosomal RNA is filed under the name Olleya sp. Spegb24. Its description in RNAcentral is "bacterial SSU rRNA". It matches the Rfam family "Bacterial small subunit ribosomal RNA", at positions 49 to 833 of the family's 1533-position model. The record is from RNAcentral. Lineage: Bacteria; Pseudomonadati; Bacteroidota; Flavobacteriia; Flavobacteriales; Flavobacteriaceae.
UUACACAUGCAAGUCGAGGGGUAACAUUUUAGCUUGCUAAAGAUGACGACCGGCGAACGGGUGCGUAACGCGUAUAGAAUCUACCUCUUACUAAGGGAUAGCCCAGAGAAAUUUGGAUUAAUACCUUAUAGUAUGCAGACUUGGCAUCAAGACUGCAUUAAAGAUUACGGUAGGAGAUGACUAUGCGUCCUAUUAGCUAGAUGGUGUGGUAACGGCACACCAUGGCAACGAUAGGUAGGGGCCCUGAGAGGGGGAUCCCCCACACUGGUACUGAGACACGGACCAGACUCCUACGGGAGGCAGCAGUGAGGAAUAUUGGACAAUGGAGGCAACUCUGAUCCAGCCAUGCCGCGUGCAGGAAGACUGCCCUAUGGGUUGUAAACUGCUUUUAUACAGGAAGAAACACUGCUACGUGUAGCAGCUUGACGGUACUGUAAGAAUAAGGAUCGGCUAACUCCGUGCCAGCAGCCGCGGUAAUACGGAGGAUCCAAGCGUUAUCCGGAAUCAUUGGGUUUAAAGGGUCCGUAGGUGGAUAAUUAAGUCAGAGGUGAAAUCCUGCAGCUCAACUGUAGAAUUGCCUUUGAUACUGGUUAUCUUGAGUUAUUAUGAAGUAGUUAGAAUAUGUAGUGUAGCGGUGAAAUGCAUAGAUAUUACAUAAAAUACCAAUUGCGAAGGCAGAUUACUAAUAAUAUACUGACACUGAUGGACGAAAGCGUGGGGAGCGAACAGGAUUAGAUACCCUGGUAGUCCACGCCGUAAACGAUGGUCACUAGCUGUUCGAACUUCU